CAGUCGCCACGGGAAUACAGAGGGUGCAAGCGUUAAUCGGAAUUACUGGGCGUAAAGCGCGCGUAGGUGGUUUGUUAAGUUGGAUGUGAAAUCCCCGGGCUCAACCUGGGAACUGCAUCCGAAACUGGCAAGCUAGAGUAUGGUAGAGGGUGGUGGAAUUUCCUGUGUAGCGGUGAAAUGCGUAGAUAUAGGAAGGAACACCAGUGGCGAAGGCGACCACCUGGACUAAUACUGACACUGAGGUGCGAAAGCGUGGGGAGCAAACAGGAUUAGAUACCCCAGUAGUCCCUGUCUCUUAUAC
RNAcentral lists this ribosomal RNA (301 nucleotides) under uncultured bacterium. RNAcentral's name for it is "partial 16S ribosomal RNA". It matches the Rfam family "Bacterial small subunit ribosomal RNA", at positions 509 to 807 of the family's 1533-position model. The record is from RNAcentral.